This 483-nucleotide ribosomal RNA is filed under the name Salmonella enterica. Its description in RNAcentral is "partial 23S ribosomal RNA". It matches the Rfam family "Bacterial large subunit ribosomal RNA", at positions 2282 to 2764 of the family's 2925-position model. Lineage: Bacteria; Pseudomonadati; Pseudomonadota; Gammaproteobacteria; Enterobacterales; Enterobacteriaceae. RNAcentral also lists the same sequence under 1 other name. The record is from RNAcentral.
GUCUCCUCCUAAAGAGUAACGGAGGAGCACGAAGGUUGGCUAAUCCUGGUCGGACAUCAGGAGGUUAGUGCAAUGGCAUAAGCCAGCUUGACUGCGAGCGUGACGGCGCGAGCAGGUGCGAAAGCAGGUCAUAGUGAUCCGGUGGUUCUGAAUGGAAGGGCCAUCGCUCAACGGAUAAAAGGUACUCCGGGGAUAACAGGCUGAUACCGCCCAAGAGUUCAUAUCGACGGCGGUGUUUGGCACCUCGAUGUCGGCUCAUCACAUCCUGGGGCUGAAGUAGGUCCCAAGGGUAUGGCUGUUCGCCAUUUAAAGUGGUACGCGAGCUGGGUUUAGAACGUCGUGAGACAGUUCGGUCCCUAUCUGCCGUGGGCGCUGGAGAACUGAGGGGGGCUGCUCCUAGUACGAGAGGACCGGAGUGGACGCAUCACUGGUGUUCGGGUUGUCAUGCCAAUGGCACUGCCCGGUAGCUAAAUGCGGAAGAGA